Molecule: ribosomal RNA, 520 nt
Filed under: uncultured Glomus
Lineage: Eukaryota; Fungi; Glomeromycota; Glomeromycetes; Glomerales; Glomeraceae
Description: SSU rRNA
Rfam family: Eukaryotic small subunit ribosomal RNA
Source: RNAcentral
AGCAGCCGCGGUAAUCCCAGCUCCAAUAGCGUAUAUUAAAGUUGUUGCAGUUAAAAAGCUCGUAGUUGAAUUUCGGGGUCAGUAGAUUGGUCAUGCCUCCGGUAUGUACUGGUCUUACUGGCUCCUCCUUCCUGAUGAACCGUAAUGCCAUUAAUUUGGUGUUGCGGGGAGACUGGACUGUUACUUUGAAAAAUUAGAGUGUUUAAAGCAGGCUAACGCUUGAAUACAUUAGCAUGGAAUAAUGAAAUAGGACGUUCGAUCUUAUUUUGUUGGUUUCUAAGAUUGACGUAAUGAUUAAUAGGGAUAGUUGGGGGCAUUAGUAUUCAAUUGUCAGAGGUGAAAUUCUUGGAUUUAUUGAAGACUAACUACUGCGAAAGCAUUUGCCAAGGAUGUUUUCAUUAAUCAAGAACGAAAGUUAGGGGAUCGAAGACGAUCAGAUACCGUCGUAGUCUUAACCAUAAACUAUGCCGACUAGGGAUCGGAUGAUGUUAAUUUUUAAUGACUCAUUCGGCGCCUUACG